CAGGUGCUCAUGGACUUCCUCAACCUGGAACAUCCCUCUGCAAGUUCUUUCCCUUUUUCUCUUUAGUGAGUUUCUCCUGGAGCCUGCAUUUUGUGGAGGGCUCAAGCCUGCUAAGUUUUUGUGACCUAAGGAAUAAAUCAUUGAGAGACUCAGAGGUAGUCUAUUGUGAGGAAGUGCUGGGAAAGAAGGUGGAAAGCAAAAGAUGUAUUGUAUGAGAAAAAAGAAAACUGAGGGAGGUCGAAGACUGCUACUAUUUCCCAAAGGUAAGGCAACACACAUUCCCAACUGCUCUUCCUUUUUUCAUUUGUUAGUCCAACAAACCUUUUU
This 327-nucleotide long non-coding RNA is filed under the name Monodelphis domestica (gray short-tailed opossum). Its description in RNAcentral is "lncRNA (ENSMODG00000034740.2)". The record is from RNAcentral. Lineage: Eukaryota; Metazoa; Chordata; Mammalia; Didelphimorphia; Didelphidae.